UCGGAAAUAAUAUAAAGGAAUUAUGGAGGAUUUUAAUUCCUUUUGUGUAGGUUCAACUCCUGCUUUUCUAC
Molecule: transfer RNA, 71 nt
Filed under: Amazona aestiva (blue-fronted amazon)
Lineage: Eukaryota; Metazoa; Chordata; Aves; Psittaciformes; Psittacidae
Also listed under: 2 other names
Rfam family: tRNA
About the family: Transfer RNA (tRNA) molecules are approximately 80 nucleotides in length.
Source: Rfam by way of RNAcentral